UGGGGGUUGUUACAAGAAAAAGUAG
RNAcentral lists this non-coding RNA (25 nucleotides) under Cricetulus griseus (Chinese hamster). Lineage: Eukaryota; Metazoa; Chordata; Mammalia; Rodentia; Cricetidae. The record is from RNAcentral.